This 490-nucleotide ribosomal RNA is filed under the name uncultured bacterium. Its description in RNAcentral is "partial 16S ribosomal RNA". It matches the Rfam family "Bacterial small subunit ribosomal RNA", at positions 30 to 507 of the family's 1533-position model. The record is from RNAcentral.
AUUGAACGCUGGCGACAGGCCUAACACAUGCAAGUCGAACGGUAACAGGAAGAAGCUUGCUUCUUUGCUGACGAGUGGCGGACGGGUGAGUAAUGUCUGGGAAACUGCCUGAUGGAGGGGGAUAACUACUGGAAACGGUAGCUAAUACCGCAUAACGUCGCAAGACCAAAGAGGGGGACCUUCGGGCCUCUUGCCAUCGGAUGUGCCCAGAUGGGAUUAGCUAGUAGGUGGGGUAACGGCUCACCUAGGCGACGAUCCCUAGCUGGUCUGAGAGGAUGACCAGCCACACUGGAACUGAGACACGGUCCAGACUCCUACGGGAGGCAGCAGUGGGGAAUAUUGCACAAUGGGCGCAAGCCUGAUGCAGCCAUGCCGCGUGUAUGAAGAAGGCCUUCGGGUUGUAAAGUACUUUCAGCGGGGAGGAAGGGAGUAAAGUUAAUACCUUUGCUCAUUGACGUUACCCGCAGAAGAAGCACCGGCUAACUCCGUG